CAGCACCUCAAGUGGUCAGGAUGAUUAGUGGGCCUAAAGCAUCCGUAGCCGGCUCUGUAAGUUUUCGGUUAAAUCUGUACGCUCAACGUACAGGCUGCCGGGAAUACUGCAGCGCUAGGGAGUGGGAGAGGUAGACGGUACUCGGUAGGAAGGGGUAAAAUCCUUUGAUCUAUUGAUGACCACCUGUGGCGAAGGCGGUCUACCAGAACACGUCCGACGGUGAGGGAUGAAAGCUGGGGGAGCAAACCGGAUUAGAUACCCGAGUAGUCC
This 270-nucleotide ribosomal RNA is filed under the name uncultured archaeon. RNAcentral's name for it is "partial 16S ribosomal RNA". It matches the Rfam family "Archaeal small subunit ribosomal RNA", at positions 477 to 747 of the family's 1478-position model. The record is from RNAcentral.